RNAcentral lists this ribosomal RNA (253 nucleotides) under uncultured bacterium. RNAcentral's name for it is "partial 16S ribosomal RNA". It matches the Rfam family "Bacterial small subunit ribosomal RNA", at positions 524 to 776 of the family's 1533-position model. The record is from RNAcentral.
UACGAAGGGUGCAAGCGUUACUCGGAAUUACUGGGCGUAAAGCGUGAGUAGGUGGUUUCUUAAGUCUGCUGUGAAAGCCCCGGGCUCAACCUGGGAAUUGCAGUGGAUACUGGGAAGCUAGAGUGCGGUAGAGGGUAGUGGAAUUCCCGGUGUAGUGGUGAUAUGCGUAGAUAUCGGGAGGAACACCAGUGGCGAAGGCGGCUCUCUGGGCCUUUCCUGACGCUGAGACGCGAAAGCGUGGGGAGCGAACCGG